This 484-nucleotide ribosomal RNA is filed under the name uncultured bacterium. RNAcentral describes it as "partial 16S ribosomal RNA". It matches the Rfam family "Bacterial small subunit ribosomal RNA", at positions 29 to 507 of the family's 1533-position model. The record is from RNAcentral.
AUUGAACGCUGGCGGCAUGCCUUACACAUGCAAGUCGAACGGCAGCACGGGAGCAAUCCUGGUGGCGAGUGGCGAACGGGCGAGUAAUACAUCGGAACGUGCCCAAUCGUGGGGGAUAACGCAGCGAAAGCUGUGCUAAUACCGCAUACGAUCUACGGAGGAAAGCAGGGGACCGCAAGGCCUUGCGCGAAUGGAGCGGCCGAUGGCAGAUUAGGUAGUUGGUGGGGGAAAGGCUCACCAAGCCAACGAUCUGUAGCUGGUCUGAGAGGACGACCAGCCACACUGGGACUGAGACACGGCCCAGACUCCUACGGGAGGCAGCAGUGGGGAAUUUUGGACAAUGGGCGCAAGCCUGAUCCAGCCGUGCCGCGUGCAGGAUGAAGGCCUUCGGGUUGUAAACUGCUUUUGUACGGAACGAAACGGCCUUUUCUAAUAAAGAGGGCUAAUGACGGUACCGUAAGAAUAAGCACCGGCUAACUACGUG